UUGGAGACCAUUGCUGGGAGCAUAGGGGCCUCUCAGGAAGUCGAUUUUCUUUUGUUUGAUUCAAGAAAAACAUUCUGAGCUGCUAAAAAUACAAUCUCCUCCUAAAAUGAAGCACAAAUUGCCAUGAAAUUGGGGAAAAAGAAGGGGGAAAAAAAAAAAAAAAGUAGCAGCAACAGAAGCAUACGCUUCCAGACUUCGGAACAAUGACUGCUGAAUUCUCUUCUCUUUAUUCUCCUGAUUGUUUUAUGAAGAAAUCGAACGUAGAAAGAAAAAAAAAAUGAAAUUAAGGCUCUUUUAUGGCCAGUGAAUGGAGGCAGUGAUUGUUCGUGCUAUGAACAACUCCACGCUGUGUAGCGUAGAUGCUGUGAGCUGUACAGCAGCCAGCCAGUCGCGGGAGAGCAGACCUUUUUCCAUGCCAGAGGGGAUCUGUGGGUGUUGAUUUAUUUUACUUCUUCGCUCUUGUUGUCAGAGGAUGCGAGUUCUGAAUCAGAGAGUCACAGACAAUUAGCGAUUCGCACUGGUCAUCAACACUCACCAGAGUUUAUUGCAAGAACUGCGGUGAUAUUUCAUCAUAGAUUUCCGGGCUUUUUGUUGGUUUAGGUUUAAUUUUGUUAUUCUUGUCAUGACUGCUGCCAAAGAUGCGAGUGCUGGUAGACAGGCAGGCCCGCUGCUCUCCGCAGCUUUCUGGUGUUGUUGUUGUUGCUUGUUUGAGCCUGUGCAUUUGCUAAGCCCAACUCUGCCGCCGGUUUAGCAACUAAUCGGAGCUCCCCGUGCUAUGUCGAACAAGGAGCAAUGGCAGCCUGGAGAGCAAUAGGUGUCGUAGCCUGAGCGCAACGAUGCUGCUCAAAGCUGUAAUAGAUGCUCUGCUUAUCGGAAGCCUGCACUGUUUGUCCUAGGAGAACUUUGUGAAGACAUGUUUAAAUGCAAACGUUGUAUUUAAACAUAUCAGAUUGCCUUUGAUUUCUCACUCGCGUAGCACCGGUUUCCUCACUGCUGGCAGCACAGGGAAGUGAAAUGAGUGAAAGAGGAUCUGGCACACGGACAGUUCAGCUGUAAAGCCUGAGUCAUAGGCUUGCAAUCAGAGAACAAACCAAGCAGAUAAGGAGCACAGUGAGUGCCCGCACAGCAGGCAGGGUCCGCUUGUACUUCAGCUGUGUGCAGAAGAGGUGCUGCUGUCCUCAUGCAUAGCAAGGCAGUAAGGAAGGUGGGUACCUUUGGCUACGUGUUCUGUUCCACAAGUGCAAAAAACUGCUCCAGCCCCACCAGCUUUCAACUGGGGACUCCAAACUUUUCACAGAAAGAAUACCGUCCAUAAAAAGGUGCCGCCUGCUGCUCCUGCAAAGACCCAUUCGUGCCCAUCUGAGCAGCACGCCAUAGAAAAUUCACCAUUUGCACAUGUGCACGACAGUUGUUCAUUAUUUCUGAAAGUUCGUACUUCUGCUGUGCUGGUUCGCGUAUACUGCCAGCCCCACUGAGCCCCCCACAUAGUUUCCUAGCAACUAGAUAGAAAUAUAACUCUGAGCUUGGCACCAGCAGAGCAGAUUCUGCCGCUGCUUUCCCCCAGGCACACACUGCGGUCUGGGAUAGAAUGCACUGGGCAAAGAGAUCAGGGCAGCGCAGGCCAGGAGUCUCCCAGGGGCUGGCAUUAGUCAUUCCUCACACUUCCACACGAAGCCUGGGGUUCCCGCUCCCCGAGGUGGGGACACGUGCUGCUCAGUCCUGCCUUACCCGUGCAUGUUAAGCAAGGGGGAAGUCAUGGAGAUGCCACAAAACCUGAUCUAAAGUCCUUGUCCCACGACAAUCUGUAACAAAGCUGUUACUGACUGCAGCAGGCAAGAGUUUUUGCCUUGGAUAAUACAGCAACACAGGUUUCAGCUGCUAGAUUAUAGUGAGAGGAAAUGUGGCAUGCACAGUUUUAGUCAAUAGCGAGUCUACUUUUCCUUGUCUAGAGAACAGCUGGAGAGUCCCGAUGCACACCGCCCUUUUCUGCCUCGCUCACAGUCUGCCCUUACGCACUUCUAUUUGUUUAAUCCUCUGUUGAAGUAUUUCAGGAGCACAAUCACUGCUCUGCCGCACCACCACAUCAUCACCAGAACAAAUUAAGAAGAAGAAGGUUAGGAGAUUAUAAACCGGAGAUUUAAAAAAGUAGAAAGUCUCUUCAAGGCUGCCUUCGGCUCUUCAACUGUCUUUAGUAAUACAGUACAGGAAAGUAUUACUUCUUCCCCCAGAUCCUUGCCUCACUCAGUACACAAGAUUGCUGAGGAACUGUAACAUCAUUGUUUUUAAUAGGAAAAAAAAAAAAAAAGUAGCUGAGACUUAAUGGUAGCAUUUAAAUGGCAUACAGAGCCUUUUGAGUUCACACCUCAUUAAGGUGCACAGGAAGGGAAGGGGUGCACAUCUUUGUUGUUACUUUUGCCUCGCAGCAUUUUCAGCCAUGCUAUGUGAACAGAGCAGCAGCACAUUAACUGACUUUGUA
RNAcentral lists this long non-coding RNA (2476 nucleotides) under Gallus gallus (chicken). Its description in RNAcentral is "long non-coding RNA NONGGAT011804". Lineage: Eukaryota; Metazoa; Chordata; Aves; Galliformes; Phasianidae. The record is from RNAcentral.